UNUUGCUGUCCUAACUUCUGAAAGAGUG
Molecule: non-coding RNA, 28 nt
Filed under: Mus musculus (house mouse)
Lineage: Eukaryota; Metazoa; Chordata; Mammalia; Rodentia; Muridae
Source: RNAcentral